CUGUCUGUUUUCUGCUUGCUGCUAACCUUAUUCGUCCAGCAGAGGGUGUCGAGCUACAGGAGGAAUGUGGACAGGUGUUUCCCAUCUUCUGAUCGCCGUGUACGCUACUUAAGCCGUGGCUGCCUGCUACUCGUCGCCUGAGUGUUGAGCCUAUGUGGUAUCAGUAACCUUGAUGUCCAUCGAUCCCUUAACUAUUCCUCGAGCGCUUGGAGCCUUUUGGAUUACCUGUCUGGAAUUCUACGUACACUCCUGGACUGAGCAAUCUUCACCUUUUACUGGAUCUGUGCUACAUUACGACAAGCGUACUUCUCCUGCAGACCUGUCCACCCUCCUACGUAACUCCUGCUUCACCUUCCGCUCGCUUUCCACAGAAAGCACGUUUCGCUGUGAGCUCUACUUCAGUUCUCCUAAACCCCGUCUCCCCUGGCGGAUUCCGUUCACUCUCUAGUAAGAGCAUUUAUUUAUAUUCAUGAUAUUUAUAUUUAUAUAUUUAUAUAUACAUUGCCGUCCUGUUUUCUUAUCAGUUCUUUUUUCUCGCACAGUUGGAGAGACCAGAUCCCUGUCAUCCCUGUGUAGAAUUUAGAAAUAAUAAACUUCUUUUCACCGUU
This is a long non-coding RNA of Girardinichthys multiradiatus, 608 nucleotides long. RefSeq lists it as uncharacterized. NCBI's taxonomy places the organism in Eukaryota, Metazoa, Chordata, Actinopteri, Cyprinodontiformes, Goodeidae. The record is from RefSeq and is a predicted model, not a curated record. The transcript has 2 exons.